RNAcentral lists this ribosomal RNA (764 nucleotides) under uncultured bacterium. Its description in RNAcentral is "bacterial SSU rRNA". It matches the Rfam family "Bacterial small subunit ribosomal RNA", at positions 8 to 796 of the family's 1533-position model. The record is from RNAcentral.
AGAGUUUGAUCCUGGCUCAGGAUAAACGCUGGCGGCGUGCCUAACACAUGCAAGUCGAACGUCCUCUUCUCGCAAGGGAAGAGGGAGUGGCGGACGGGUGAGUAGCACAUGGGUACCUACCCCAAGGUGAGGAAUACCACCGAGAAAUCGGUGACAAUACCGCAUACGCUCAGCAAUGAGCAAAGCUCUUCUUCGGGAGGGCGCGCGUGGACGAGCCUGUGCCUGAUUAGUUAGUUGGUGGGGUAAGAGCCUACCAAGACUACGAUCAGUCGCUGGUCUGAGAGGAUGAUCAGCCACACUGGGAUUGAGAACGGCCCAGACUCCUACGGGGGGCAGCAGUGAGGAAUAUUCGGCAAUGGGGGCAACCCUGACCGAGCAACGCCGCGUGCAGGACGACGGCCUUCGGGUUGUAAACUGCUUUUCUGGGGGAUGAGCAAGGACAGUACCCCAGGAAGAAGCUCCGGCUAACUACGUGCCAGCAGCCGCGGUAAUACGUAGGGAGCGAGCGUUGUCCGGAGUUACUGGGCGUAAAGCGCACGCAGGCGGUCUUUUGCGUUCGUGCCGACAGCGACUCGCCUACCGAGUCGAGGAGUACGGAAACGGGAAGACUUGAGGGCCACAGAGGGACACGGAACUCCGGGUGGAGUGGUGAAAUGCGUAGAGAUCCGGAAGAACACCAAAGGCGAAGGCAGUGUCCUGGGUGGUACCUGACGCUCAGAGGCGACAGCUAGGGGAGCGAACGGGAUUAGAUACCCCGGUAGUCC